UGUUCAUAUCUCCAAGCUUCUGGACAAUCUUGGAGUUGCUCUCAAACCUCUUUUUGUUGCUGGUUCCAACAUCAAGAAUAGCUUCCAGGUAGAGACGUGAAGAAAAGGGAUUUGAAGUCGUAUAAGUAUGUUGUUAGCUCUGUUUGGCAUGUGAAAGUAAUGGAACAGAGCAUAUUCCCAAGCUUUCACCAAAUUGGAUUACUUUUAAACCACUUCAAUCCUGAAAAAUAAUGUGAAUGGUUUCUAUACUUGAAGAAGAAGAAUCUGAGUAGGAAAUGGUAAAAUGUUAAACUGAAAUUGUAUGGAAUUGGAAGUGCUCUAUAAAUCAUGUUGAUGCUCGUUUGCACAAUAGUUUUUUCA
Long non-coding RNA from Capsella rubella, 360 nucleotides. RefSeq lists it as uncharacterized. The transcript has 2 exons. NCBI's taxonomy places the organism in Eukaryota, Viridiplantae, Streptophyta, Magnoliopsida, Brassicales, Brassicaceae. The record is from RefSeq and is a predicted model, not a curated record.